RNAcentral lists this long non-coding RNA (410 nucleotides) under Prunus persica (peach). RNAcentral describes it as "long non-coding RNA (PPER_LNC000699)". Lineage: Eukaryota; Viridiplantae; Streptophyta; Magnoliopsida; Rosales; Rosaceae. The record is from RNAcentral.
AAAGAAAAUUCAGAUAAUAGAUCCUAUUUUUAUGGAACACAACUACCCAUUAUCUUUUUUAAUUCUAAAAUAAAUAAGUUUAUUAUUAUUUUUAGAAUGCCUCUCGCAGGCGCAGAAGUGCGUACAGAGAGGCUAGUUUUAAUAAAUAAAGUUUAAUUAAUAGUUUUUUUAAAUAUUAAUAAAUCAUAAAAUAAAAGAAAAUAUUAAAUAAUUUUAUUUGAUGUGGUUAUCCACCUCAUCUGUCACAUAAGGUGGUAUGGGAAUGUGAUAUAUAAAUGUGGUAAGUGUAGCAUUAUUCUUUUCAUUAUGGCAAGCUAGAUCCUUCAUGUGUUUCUUGAUUGCUAUCCUUCAUGGGUUUGGGUGUGAUUUGAGGUAUGAACUUUAGGUUCUGAUUUUUUGUUCAAUUUGUU